RNAcentral lists this ribosomal RNA (502 nucleotides) under uncultured bacterium. Its description in RNAcentral is "partial 16S ribosomal RNA". It matches the Rfam family "Bacterial small subunit ribosomal RNA", at positions 30 to 523 of the family's 1533-position model. The record is from RNAcentral.
AUUGAACGCUGGCGGAAUGCUUUACACAUGCAAGUCGAACGGCAGCAUGGGUGCUUGCACCUGAUGGCGAGUGGCGAACGGGUGAGUAAUGCAUCGGAACGUGCCCUGAAGUGGGGGAUAACGUAGCGAAAGUUACGCUAAUACCGCAUAUUCUGUGAGCAGGAAAGAGGGGGAUCGCAAGACCUCUUGCUUUAGGAGCGGCCGAUGUCGGAUUAGCUAGUUGGUGGGGUAAAGGCCUACCAAGGCGACGAUCCGUAGCGGGUCAGAGAGGAUGAUCCGCCACACUGGGACUGAGACACGGCCCAGACUCCUACGGGAGGCAGCAGUGGGGAAUUUUGGACAAUGGGCGCAAGCCUGAUCCAGCCAUGCCGCGUGAGUGAAGAAGGCCUUCGGGUUGUAAAGCUCUUUCGGUGGGGAAGAAAUUGCUUCGGCUAAUAUCCGGAGUAGAUGACGGUACCCGCAUAAGAAGCACCGGCUAACUACGUGCCAGCCGCCGCUGUAA